AGCAGUCGCCGCGGGAAUACAGAGGGUGCGAGCGUUAAUCGGAUUUACUGGGCGUAAAGCGUGCGUAGGCGGCUAAUUGAGUCGGAUGUGAAAUCCCCGAGCUUAACUUGGGAAUUGCAUUCGAUACUGGUUAGCUAGAGUGUGGGAGAGGAUGGUAGAAUUCCAGGUGUAGCGGUGAAAUGCGUAGAGAUCUGGAGGAAUACCGAUGGCGAAGGCAGCCAUCUGGCCUAACACUGACGCUGAGGUACGAAAGCAUGGGGAGCAAACAGGAUUAGAUAUCCGGGUAGUCCCUGUCUCUUAUAC
This 303-nucleotide ribosomal RNA is filed under the name uncultured bacterium. Its description in RNAcentral is "partial 16S ribosomal RNA". It matches the Rfam family "Bacterial small subunit ribosomal RNA", at positions 507 to 807 of the family's 1533-position model. The record is from RNAcentral.